AGUGAACGCUGGCGGCGUGCUUAACACAUGCAAGUCGAACGAGAACGGAAUAUAGCUUGCUAUAUUUGUCAGCUAAGUGGCGCACGGGUGAGUAAUGUAUAGAUAACCUGCCCUUAAGAAAGGAAUAACAGUUGGAAACGACUGCUUAUGCCCUAUAUGCCUUUAAUACAUAAGUAUGCAAGGGAAACGCUUUAGUGCUUAAGGAUGGGUCUGUAUGGUAUCAGCUUGUUGGUGAGGUAAUGGCUCACCAAGGCUAUGACGCCUAACUGGUUUGAGAGGAUGAUCAGUCACACUGGAACUGAGACACGGUCCAGACUCCUACGGGAGGCAGCAGUGGGGAAUAUUGCACAAUGGACGAAAGUCUGAUGCAGCAACGCCGCGUGGAGGAUGACACAUUUCGGUGCGUGAACUCCUUUUAUAUAGGAAGAUAAUGACGGUACUAUAUGAAUAAGCACCGGCUAACUCCGUGCCAGCAGCCGCCGUAA
Molecule: ribosomal RNA, 485 nt
Filed under: uncultured bacterium
Lineage: Bacteria
Description: partial 16S ribosomal RNA
Rfam family: Bacterial small subunit ribosomal RNA
Source: RNAcentral